This 1383-nucleotide long non-coding RNA is filed under the name Amborella trichopoda. Its description in RNAcentral is "long non-coding RNA (ATRI_LNC002532)". The record is from RNAcentral. Lineage: Eukaryota; Viridiplantae; Streptophyta; Magnoliopsida; Amborellales; Amborellaceae.
GGCCAUUUUGGUCAUUUUGCGCUCAGUAAUAAAUAAAAAAAAAGGAAAAAAAAGGUCACCCUAUAAUAGGGGCAAGAGCAACAAAACCCCUGCAAAAAAGUAAUAAAUAAAUAAAAAGGGAGAGUAGGGGGGUUCUGAUCAUUUUGCACUCAGGGGUAGUUUGGUCAUUUAAUAUCCAAAAGGCAUUAUGGUCAUUCUGCCAUCCUUAGAAAUAAGGGGCAAUACUAAUCACUCACAAUUACCCUCAAAAAGAAGAAAUUACACUCAGGGGUUUUCUGGUCAUUUUGUGCUUAGGAGUAUUUUGGCCAUUCUACCCUCAAGGCCCUUUUUCAUAGUCUGAAGCAAGAAAAGAUGAUAAAGAAACUUUUGACCCGAACACAUGAACUGAGAGACUUUGUUUAGCACAAGAAGUUAGGAUUCAAUCCAACUCUUGACCAUUCAAGCAUUUAACCAAACUCUUUACAAGCAUCUCAAAAGCAAUUUCAAGAGUAGAAUCCACAUAUGUUCGGUCAAUCUUUCGAAAAAAUGUCCAACCACAAUAGAAAUAUUCCAUGAAACCUUUACAAAUCAUAUUCUACUUUGAUAUUUGGGGGAAGGAAAUCAUCAUUUUUACUGAGCCAAAAGUGGCAUGCCACUUUCAAAACAACCCAAAGAGAGGACAACCCCAAUUUUCACUAAGCCAUUUCAACAAACAUAUCAUGGUUAUAUUCAAGCAUUCUUUGAAGCAAAAAAAUUGGCAUUAAAAUAAGUUUUUUACCAAAAGUGAAAACAUGAUAAUCAAAAUUUUUUAAGUGAAUUACAAAAUUUAAACAAGUUUCUCAAAAUUUGAAAAAAGAAAACCAUUGUUUUACUAUGCCAAAAUUAGUGGCACGCCAACUCAAACACCACCCAAAUGGAACUAAGCUAAUAUUCAGUAAGACAUUUCAUCAAACAUAUCAAAAGCAUGCACGUGUACCUUCUCUUGGUGUUUUGACUUGGAAAUAUGAUCCAAGCCAAGCGUCCAUUGACGCUCUCAGCGUUCCAUUUUCGACCACCUAUGAAUGAAAUAAGAUUGCAAUGAGGGAGUUUGAUGUAGAGAGGGAAAGUGGAGAAAGAAAGAUAGAAGCUUAGAGAGAGAAAGAUGGGAGGAUCAACAGAGAGUAUGUAUUUGUGGUUAAUUUAAAAAGGAAUGGGUCCCUCUCAUGGCUUCAAUUUCAGCAGCUAACUCUCUUCGAUUUCUUUUCACAGUGCUUCUUCUCUCAAAAAAUCCUCAUCAGUGUAAGGAAAACAUCAAUUAGCAAUGCAUCCCAAGUAAAACGGGCCUAAUUUGGAGUUCUCCUAGAGUGAGUAGAAUAAAAAAUCUAAUUGUGGCUUUGACUUGGAGAAAUUCCAUCUUCAUAAGUG